GACCAUCGUCGGAAAUCGUCCAGCUUUCGGCGAGCCCGGGCUCGGUCUCCGUCGUGCCCUUCUUGAACUCGAGAAGACGGCUGUAAAC
This 88-nucleotide small RNA is filed under the name Sinorhizobium meliloti 2011. RNAcentral describes it as "putative ncRNA". The record is from RNAcentral. Lineage: Bacteria; Pseudomonadati; Pseudomonadota; Alphaproteobacteria; Hyphomicrobiales; Rhizobiaceae.